AACGAACGCUGGCGGCGCGCUUAACACAUGCAAGUCGAACGAGAAGGCGUAGCAAUACGCUUGUACAGUGGCGAACGGGUGAGUAAUACGUGGGCGACCUACCCUCGAGUGGGGAAUAACCCGCCGAAAGGCGGGCUAAUGCCGCGUACGCUUCCAUCUUUAUGGAGGUGGAAGGAAAGCCGUGCCGUGGGCACGGCGCUCAAGGAUGGGCUCACGUCCUAUCAGCUUGUUGGUAGGGAACGGCCUACCAAGGCUCCGACGGGUAGCUGGUCUGAGAGGACGAUCAGCCACACUGGCACUGCGACACGGGCCAGACUCCUACGGGAGGCAGCAGUGAGGAAUAUUGCGCAAUGGGCGAAAGCCUGACGCAGCGA
RNAcentral lists this ribosomal RNA (374 nucleotides) under uncultured bacterium. RNAcentral describes it as "bacterial SSU rRNA". It matches the Rfam family "Bacterial small subunit ribosomal RNA", at positions 29 to 394 of the family's 1533-position model. The record is from RNAcentral.